UCCCCGGUAGCUCAGUUGGUAGAGCAGAUGACUGUUAAUCAUCGGGUCGGCGGUUCGAGUCCGUCCCGGGGAGCCA
RNAcentral lists this transfer RNA (76 nucleotides) under Gammaproteobacteria bacterium. RNAcentral describes it as "tRNA-Asn". It matches the Rfam family "tRNA". From Rfam's summary of the family: Transfer RNA (tRNA) molecules are approximately 80 nucleotides in length. Their secondary structure includes four short double-helical elements and three loops (D, anti-codon, and T loops). Lineage: Bacteria; Pseudomonadati; Pseudomonadota; Gammaproteobacteria. RNAcentral also lists the same sequence under 4 other names. The record is from RNAcentral.